This 263-nucleotide long non-coding RNA is filed under the name Elaeis guineensis (African oil palm). RNAcentral's name for it is "long non-coding RNA (EGUI_LNC025418)". Lineage: Eukaryota; Viridiplantae; Streptophyta; Magnoliopsida; Arecales; Arecaceae. The record is from RNAcentral.
UAAUAUCCGUUUAACGAAGCCAUGGAGUCUGAUGAUCGUUAGCGUGCCAGCUAAGGCUGAAAGGCUGCUAAAGUAUAAGCUUCAGUUUGCGGCACAGACCCAGACAAAAAAGUUAUGGUUAGUCGGCUUGUCUCCGAUUGACCAAGGAUCAGUUGAUCCGAAAUGAAGUGGAGAUAUGAUCAUGCUCCGCCUCAACCACCAUGCUUCAAACUUGAUGAGAUGCUAUGCAAAAUAGCAACCCAUGCCCCAAAACAACAAGUCUA